GGGGCAACGACCAAGCUGCAGCAUGACGUUCUUUGUCUGGAGAAAAACGUAAAACGAGAAACGUACAACUCGAUUUCUUCACAGUGGUGGUGAACUAGGGGGUUGCUUCAGGGGUGCUGGAAGAUUUCAACACAGAGAUCUUAACUUUUUGAAAAUUGAGCCGAAUCGCUUCCCUAGAGAACCUUGGCUACAUCACUAAAACACAGUUUCAUGAAGACCCUAUCCUGUUCCAGCAUGGCUGUGUCCCUGUGUACAAGGCGAGCUCCAUAAAGACAUUUGAUGAGUUUUGUGUGGAGGACCUCCAGUGGCCUGUACAGAGCCCUGACCUCAACUGAACACCUUUGGGAUGAAUUGGAACAUGGAUUUUGAGCCAGGCCUCAGUGUCUGUACUCUCAAAUGGGAUAUCCAACAAGCUCACAUAGGAAUAUGAUGCCCACUGUCUCUGUGCAUUAGAGUAGGCAGUAUGGGAGCCCAGUUGGCAAUGAAGGGAGUCACCCAAAGCCCCUCCAUUCUCCGUUAAACAUGCUGAGUAAGGGAUUUGUUUGGGAAAAUAAAUGUAUGUAAACUACAAAUUCUCUUAAAGGUUUGUACUUUUCAAACCGUACACUUUUCUUGUGAAGCCUAGGAAUCUGUUGGUGUACAUGAACAAUUUUAACAUCAUGAUGUGACUAAAUUUCUAACGAUGUGCUAACACUGACCAAUAGAGGAUGCACACUGACCCUAUGUAGUAGUGCUGUUCCUGUGGUAACUGAUCAGCCCCAUAAAGGGCUUAAUGACCAGUUCAUGAGUGGAAUCAGGAGCACUUCAACUCUGCAACACAGGGUAUUAAAAUUCUUGCACAUAAA
Colossoma macropomum (tambaqui) is the source of this 845-nucleotide long non-coding RNA. RefSeq lists it as uncharacterized. The record is from RefSeq and is a predicted model, not a curated record. The transcript is spliced from 5 exons. Lineage: Eukaryota; Metazoa; Chordata; Actinopteri; Characiformes; Serrasalmidae.